GAUGAACGCUGGCGGCGUGCCUAAUACAUGCAAGUCGAGCGAACAGAUAAGGAGCUUGCUCCUUUGACGUUAGCGGCGGACGGGUGAGUAACACGUGGGUAACCUACCUAUAAGACUGGGAUAACUUCGGGAAACCGGAGCUAAUACCGGAUAAUAUUUCGAACCGCAUGGUUCGAUAGUGAAAGAUGGUUUUGCUAUCACUUAUAGAUGGACCCGCGCCGUAUUAGCUAGUUGGUAAGGUAACGGCUUACCAAGGCGACGAUACGUAGCCGACCUGAGAGGGUGAUCGGCCACACUGGAACUGAGACACGGUCCAGACUCCUACGGGAGGCAGCAGUAGGGAAUCUUCCGCAAUGGGCGAAAGCCUGACGGAGCAACGCCGCGUGAGUGAUGAAGGCCUUCGGAUCGUAAAACUCUGUUAUUAGGGAAGAAUAUACGUGUAAGUAACUGUGCACGUCUUGACGGUACCUAAUCAGAAAGCCACGGCUAACUACGUG
This 497-nucleotide ribosomal RNA is filed under the name uncultured bacterium. Its description in RNAcentral is "partial 16S ribosomal RNA". It matches the Rfam family "Bacterial small subunit ribosomal RNA", at positions 28 to 507 of the family's 1533-position model. The record is from RNAcentral.